Long non-coding RNA from Eucalyptus grandis, 666 nucleotides. RefSeq lists it as uncharacterized. The record is from RefSeq and is a predicted model, not a curated record. NCBI's taxonomy places the organism in Eukaryota, Viridiplantae, Streptophyta, Magnoliopsida, Myrtales, Myrtaceae. The transcript has 3 exons.
CAAAUUCUCUCCUUUUGUUUCUUCAAUUGUCAUCUCUGCAACGCACCCAAAUGCUUCUGUACUCAUCGUCUGGCCGGACAAAAUCCCUCUCUCUCUCUCUCUCUCACUUCCUCGCUCGCGGCGGCGACCUGCGAUGGAAUCGUGGAUCGUGGCCCCCCCUUUAAUUGAUCGUUUCAUGCAUCAUAGGAAGUUUUUCCUCCCACUGAGUUGGUGAUCGCUGGGCUGAGGUCCGUUGAUCCUAUUUUGUCGCGAGGAUGGCGAUUCUAAACGGUGUCUGUUGGUUUUGUUGGGUACAGGUGGUAUGAUUUUUCCUGCUUGGCUAUUGUUAUAUGGAGAAUUUGGAAGGACUGUCUUCAUAUGCAGGUGAGGAUUGUUGGAUCGUGUGGCAUCCACCUACGUGAUUGAAGAAGCUACCUAAUUUGAUUGUGUGAUCCCAUCUUCUGGACUUUAUGGUGCCCUGCUUCCUUGGAGUGUUUUUCGAUGGUCUGGUUCCUGGAAUAUCAAUCGAUCUUUAUUGUAGUAGGACUUUCCGAUCUCCUCUGAUCAAUAUAGAUCUCCACAACUCGACUUAACUUUUUCACAGGGUUCUAGUUGUUACCAUGAGAAUGAGGAUUUUGCUGAUUAGCCUUGGCCCUUCAGAUCUGCGUGCACUCCUGUGGAAGUUCC